ACGAGUCAACAGCACCAACUCCAACCGGGCUUGGUACUUCACCAACGGAGCACAGAGAAGACCGAAAUGAUCAGUCCAACCUGAAGCUUUCAAUGGACAGAACAGUAAAGAAUAAAUGAAGACAACAAGCCUAGAGAAGCCACCCAGUGAGGGCAACUAACCCUACCCCUUGAAGUCCAGGAGUUUAUAAAAAGAGAGCACUCC
Molecule: long non-coding RNA, 204 nt
Organism: Polypterus senegalus (gray bichir)
Lineage: Eukaryota; Metazoa; Chordata; Cladistia; Polypteriformes; Polypteridae
Exons: 3
Source: RefSeq, a predicted model, not a curated record